This 139-nucleotide unclassified non-coding RNA is filed under the name uncultured Mortierella. RNAcentral describes it as "sequence contains ITS1". Lineage: Eukaryota; Fungi; Mortierellomycota; Mortierellomycetes; Mortierellales; Mortierellaceae. The record is from RNAcentral.
CAAUAAGUGUUUAUGGCACUUUCAAAUCCAUACCCACCUUGUGUGCAUUGUAAGGGCCCUUUCGAAAGACUGGGCUUCAUUUUCUCACACGUCUUCAAUUGCAAGUCUAACAUUCAGAGUAUAAUCAAAAACUCGAAUA